Molecule: long non-coding RNA, 374 nt
Filed under: Astyanax mexicanus (Mexican tetra)
Lineage: Eukaryota; Metazoa; Chordata; Actinopteri; Characiformes; Acestrorhamphidae
Description: lncRNA (ENSAMXG00005007401.1)
Source: RNAcentral
GCUCUUUGAGUUCAGCGCUGCUAUAGAGAUUAGCAAAAUGGGCCUGGCCUGCAGACGUUCUGAAAAUGGUGUUGUAGAACUAACGGAAGAUGGCACGUAGAAGAUGGUCGUUCCACUAAUGCAGGAAAGUUUAUUACAUCUGAGACCAGUGUGACUCUACAUUUGGAAGCUAAAGUCCUGACUCCGAUGUCUGUCAGGAUGCUGGUGCUGGAACAUUUUCCCUCAAGAGCUCACCUGGGUGAUGUUCCAGAGCUGGUGAAGAACACUGGUGGUUGAAUGUCUGUGCUGCGGGGACCUUCACAUUCCAGUGAAAUGUAUUGCAUAAUGCCGCUGGUUGUGGUUUUGCUGGUUGAAAAUAAAUGUUGAUUUUAAUG